This 253-nucleotide ribosomal RNA is filed under the name uncultured bacterium. RNAcentral's name for it is "partial 16S ribosomal RNA". It matches the Rfam family "Bacterial small subunit ribosomal RNA", at positions 524 to 776 of the family's 1533-position model. RNAcentral also lists the same sequence under 1 other name. The record is from RNAcentral.
UACGAAGGGGGCUAGCGUUGUUCGGAAUUACUGGGCGUAAAGGGCGCGUAGGCUGUGCUGUAAGUCAGGCGUGAAAUCCCCGGGCUCAACCUGGGAAUUGCGUUUGAUACUGCGGCGCUGGAAUGCAGGAGAGGAUGGCGGAAUUCCCAGUGUAGAGGUGAAAUUCGUAGAUAUUGGGAAGAACACCGGUGGCGAAGGCGGCCAUCUGGCCUGUAAUUGACGCUGAGGCGCGAAAGCGUGGGGAGCAAACAGG